GGGCCGUUGGCGCAGUUGGCUAGCGCACCUCCAUGACGCGGAGGGGGUCACAGGUUCGAGUCCUGUACGGCCCACCA
Molecule: transfer RNA, 77 nt
Filed under: Actinomycetes bacterium
Lineage: Bacteria; Bacillati; Actinomycetota; Actinomycetes
Also listed under: 2 other names
Description: Actinobacteria bacterium tRNA-Val
Rfam family: tRNA
About the family: Transfer RNA (tRNA) molecules are approximately 80 nucleotides in length.
Source: RNAcentral